This 433-nucleotide ribosomal RNA is filed under the name uncultured beta proteobacterium. RNAcentral describes it as "bacterial SSU rRNA". It matches the Rfam family "Bacterial small subunit ribosomal RNA", at positions 9 to 490 of the family's 1533-position model. The record is from RNAcentral. Lineage: Bacteria; Pseudomonadati; Pseudomonadota; Betaproteobacteria.
GAGUUUGAUCAUGGCUCAGAUUGAACGCUGGCGGCAUGCCUUACACAUGCAAGUCGAGCGCCCCGCAAGGGGAGCGGCAGACGGGUGAGUAACGCGUGGGAACGUACCCUUUACUACGGAAUAACGCAUGGAAACGUGUGCUAAUACCGUAUGUGCCCUUCGGGGGAAAGAUUUAUCGGUAAAGGAUCGGCCCGCGUUGGAUUAGCUAGUUGGUGGGGUAAAGGCCUACCAAGGCGACGAUCCAUAGCUGGUCUGAGAGGAUGACCAGCCACAUUGGGACUGAGACACGGCCCAAACUCCUACGGGAGGCAGCAGUGGGGAAUAUUGGACAAUGGGCGCAAGCCUGAUCCAGCCAUGCCGCGUGAGUGAUGAAGGCCCUAGGGUUGUAAAGCUCUUUCACCGGUGAAGAUAAUGACGGUAACCGGAGAAGAAG